This 679-nucleotide ribosomal RNA is filed under the name uncultured Bacteroidota bacterium. RNAcentral describes it as "bacterial SSU rRNA". It matches the Rfam family "Bacterial small subunit ribosomal RNA", at positions 10 to 682 of the family's 1533-position model. The record is from RNAcentral. Lineage: Bacteria; Pseudomonadati; Bacteroidota.
AGUUUGAUCCUGGCUCAGGACGAACGCUGGCGGCAGGCUUAACACAUGCAAGUCGCACGAGAACGUUCUGGCUUUGCCAGAACAAGUGCAGUGGCGGACGGGUGCGUAACGCGUAGAUAACCUGCCCUCAGGCGUGGGACAAUCACGGGAAACCGUGGCUAAUACCGCACGUCGUCUGGAUCCCGCAUGGGAACUAGAUGAAAGCCUUCGGGCGCCUUUGGAUGGGUCUGCGUCGGAUUAGCUUGUUGGUGAGGUAACGGCUCACCAAGGUGACGAUCCGUAGCUGGUCUGAGAGGAUGAUCAGCCACACUGGGACUGAGACACGGCCCAGACUCCUACGGGAGGCAGCAGUGGGGAAUCUUGCACAAUGGGGGAAACCCUGAUGCAGCCAUGCCGCGUGGAGGAAGACACCCCUAUGGGGCGUAAACUCCUUUUCUGCGCGAAGAAACCCCUGUUGUUCAGGGCGUGACGGUACCGCAGGAAUAAGGACCGGCUAACUCCGUGCCAGCAGCCGCGGUAAUACGGAGGGUCCAAGCGUUGUCCGGAAUCACUGGGCGUAAAGGGUGUGCAGGUGGGGCAGCAAGUCAGAGGUGAAAGCCCGCGGCUUAACCGCGGAAGUGCCUUUGAAACUGUUGCUCUUGAGUCCCGGAGAGGCUGCCGGAAUUCGUGGUGUAGCGGU